This 279-nucleotide ribosomal RNA is filed under the name Shewanella algae. RNAcentral describes it as "partial 16S ribosomal RNA". It matches the Rfam family "Bacterial small subunit ribosomal RNA", at positions 1 to 273 of the family's 1533-position model. Lineage: Bacteria; Pseudomonadati; Pseudomonadota; Gammaproteobacteria; Alteromonadales; Shewanellaceae. The record is from RNAcentral.
UUAAUUGAAGAGUUUGAUCAUGGCUCAGAUUGAACGCUGGCGGCAGGCCUAACACAUGCAAGUCGAGCGGUAACAUUUCAAAAGCUUGCUUUUGAAGAUGACGAGCGGCGGACGGGUGAGUAAUGCCUGGGAAUUUGCCCAUUUGUGGGGGAUAACAGUUGGAAACGACUGCUAAUACCGCAUACGCCCUACGGGGGAAAGCAGGGGACCUUCGGGCCUUGCGCUGAUGGAUAAGCCCAGGUGGGAUUAGCUAGUAGGUGAGGUAAAGGCUCACCUAGG